Molecule: long non-coding RNA, 1126 nt
Filed under: Salmo salar (Atlantic salmon)
Lineage: Eukaryota; Metazoa; Chordata; Actinopteri; Salmoniformes; Salmonidae
Description: lncRNA (ENSSSAG00000090624.1)
Source: RNAcentral
GAAAGACGAACGAGGUCAGUGGCGGUAAUGCACCUAAUUUAUGAAAGUUGCCAAUCGCACUAUAAAGUCAAGAGAAGAAAAAGCCUAGAAGGAGGAGAGAUGACUAGAAACGAUUCGAUUGAUCGUUUUAUGUGUUAAUUAAUUGUCGGAGUAGAGGACUUUGUGCAUUUCAGAUGAACAUGGCGUUUGGAAAUUGCUACCAAGGAUGAACCAGACAAGUGGAGGUCUACAAUUUUUUUUCUGAGAUCUUGGCUGAUUUCUUUUGAUUUUCCCAUGAUGUCAAGCAAAGAGGCACUGAGUUUGAAGAUCUUUGACGCUUUCGUGAGGGGCUUCCAUCCUCGUAUCAACCGACUCAUGGUCUGAACCACCCAUCACAGAACUGGCAGAGACAGGACUCAUCAGGGAUGAUUCUGAAAAACACAAAGAUGACAAUACAGGCAUACCAUCUAAGGGAGGAAGGAUGUCAGUGUUGUACGGCAGCUGAAACCUGGUCCCGACUGAGUCCGAACGCUCCUUGGCGACAACAACACCAGGCUCCAGAGCAUCGAAGCAGUAAAACAGGAAAUGACAACAUUUUUUUUGACAUUACAACCUUGUACAACAUCAAUUCACCUCCCAAGUUUAGAUAAGAAGAAUAACCUCAUACAAUGGAAUGAAAAUGAUAUUCACCGGAAGUGCUGGUACUGCUUGAAAUGUGGCAGCGGCCUGAAGUACGGAGUCAGGUGUUGUUGCCAGUCAUAGCUUUCCACCAGCACCGUACCGUCCUCCAGUCCAACAACACCAGCAAUCUCAGACAAAGUGUUCACUCUGGUCUUUCUGAAGCGCUGCUUGAUAAGGCCGAAGCAUUAGUCGGGGGCAAACUUGGUGUGGUCUGUGAUCAGGAAGUGAAGUUCCAGACUGCUUGAGUUUGUGCCUAUAAGACAGAAGGAGCAAGGUGGUGUCGUGGUCGGAUUUGCCGAAGUGAGGGCGGGGGAGGGCUUUGUAUGCAUCGCUGAAGUUAGAGUAGCAGUGGUCGAGGGUAUUGCGCAUGCGCGUAUCACAAUCAAUAUCGGAUGGGGCCACAGUGUCUCCUGGCCCCUCCUGUCUCAGCCUCCAGUAUUUAUUCUGCAGUAGUUUAUGUGUCGGG